CCUACGGGUGGCUGCAGUGAGGAAUAUUGGUCAAUGGACGGAAGCCUGAACCAGCCAUGCCGCGUGAAGGAUGACGGCUCCAUGAGUUGUAAACUGCUUUUGUAUGAGGGUAAAGAGCCCUACGUGUAGGGUCUUGAAAGUACAAUAAGAAUAAGGAUCGGCUAACUCCGUGCCAGCAGCCGCGGUAAUACGGAGGAUCCGAGCGUUAUCCGGAUUUAUUGGGUUUAAAGGGUGCGUAGGCGGGUUGAUAAGUUAGAGGUGAAAUGCCGGUGCUCAACACCGGGACUGCCUUUGAUACUGUUGAACUAGAGAGUAGUUGCGGUAGGCGGAAUGUAUGGUGUAGCGGUGAAAUGCUUAGAGAUCGUACAGAACACCGAUUGCGAAGGCAGCUUACCAAACUAUAACUGACGUUGAGGCACGAAAGCGUGGGUAGCGAACAGGAUUAGAUACCCCAGUAGUC
Molecule: ribosomal RNA, 460 nt
Filed under: uncultured bacterium
Lineage: Bacteria
Description: partial 16S ribosomal RNA
Rfam family: Bacterial small subunit ribosomal RNA
Source: RNAcentral